GUUUUUGUAGUUGAAUACAACGGUAGUUUUUCAGACUACGAGUCAAGGUUGAAAUCCUUGUAAGAAUA
RNAcentral lists this transfer RNA (68 nucleotides) under Pithecopus megacephalus (large-headed leaf frog). Its description in RNAcentral is "tRNA-Glu". It matches the Rfam family "tRNA". Rfam says of the family: Transfer RNA (tRNA) molecules are approximately 80 nucleotides in length. Their secondary structure includes four short double-helical elements and three loops (D, anti-codon, and T loops). The record is from RNAcentral. Lineage: Eukaryota; Metazoa; Chordata; Amphibia; Anura; Hylidae.